This 252-nucleotide ribosomal RNA is filed under the name uncultured bacterium. Its description in RNAcentral is "partial 16S ribosomal RNA". The record is from RNAcentral.
CACGGAAGGGGCGGGCGUUAUUCUUCAUAACUGGGUGUAAAACGUGUGGUGAUAGCAUUUUUAAAAUUUUUAAAAUUUUUAAAAGUUUUAAAAAAGAAUAAAUUGUUCGAAUGCUACUUUUUAUAGAUAUAAAUUCAAUUUCUCGGUUUAAGGGUAAAAUUUUUUGAGACUGAGAGGAAAUCCAAAUUGGCGAAAGCAUUUGUUUAAGUAAAAAGUAUAUUUAAACAUCGAAAACUUGGGACAGCGAGAAGG